CGUAGGUGAACCUGCGGAGGGAUCAUUACCGAGUUUACAACUCCCAAACCCAAUGUGAACGUUACCAAACUGUUGCCUCGGCGGGAUCUCUGCCCCGGGUGCGUCGCAGCCCCGGACCAAGGCGCCCGCCGGAGGACCAACCAAAACUCUUAUUGUAUACCCCCUCGCGGGUUUUUUUAUAAUCUGAGCCUUCUCGGCGCCUCUCGUAGGCGUUUCGAAAAUGAAUCAAAACUUUCAACAACGGAUCGCUUGGUUCUGGCAUCGAUGAAGAACGCAGCGAAAUGCGAUAAGUAAUGUGAAUUGCAGAAUUCAGUGAAUCAUCGAAUCUUUGAACGCACAUUGCGCCCGCCAGUAUUCUGGCGGGCAUGCCUGUCCGAGCGUCAUUUCAACCCUCGAACCCCUCCGGGGGGUCGGCGUUGGGGAUCGGCCCUCCCUUAGCGGGGUGGCCGUCUCCGAAAUACAGUGGCGGUCUCGCCGCAGCCUCUCCUGCGCAGUAGUUUGCACACUCGCAUCGGGAGCGCGGCGCGUCCACAGCCGUUAAACACCCAACUUCUGAAAUGUUGACCUCGGAUCAGGUAGGAAUACCCGCUGAACUUAAGCAUAUCAAUAAGCGGAGGA
RNAcentral lists this ribosomal RNA (618 nucleotides) under uncultured Hypocreales. RNAcentral's name for it is "eukaryotic LSU rRNA". The stretch from base 230 to 383 matches the Rfam family "5.8S ribosomal RNA". The record is from RNAcentral. Lineage: Eukaryota; Fungi; Ascomycota; Sordariomycetes; Hypocreales.